This 401-nucleotide ribosomal RNA is filed under the name uncultured Eubacteriales bacterium. Its description in RNAcentral is "bacterial SSU rRNA". It matches the Rfam family "Bacterial small subunit ribosomal RNA", at positions 356 to 774 of the family's 1533-position model. The record is from RNAcentral. Lineage: Bacteria; Bacillati; Bacillota; Clostridia; Eubacteriales.
GGGGAAUAUUGCACAAUGGGCGAAAGCCUGAUGCAGCGACGCCGCGUGAGUGAAGAAGUAUUUCGGUAUGUAAAGCUCUAUCAGCAGGGAAGAUAAUGACGGUACCUGACUAAGAAGCCCCGGCUAACUACGUGCCAGCAGCCGCGGUAAUACGUAGGGGGCAAGCGUUAUCCGGAUUUACUGGGUGUAAAGGGAGCGUAGACGGCAUGGCAAGUCUGAAGUGAAAACUGUGGGCUUAACCGACAGACUGCAUUCAAAACUGUUUUUCUUGAGUGAAGUAGAGGCAAGCGGAAUUCCUAGUGUAGCGGUGAAAUGCGUAGAUAUUAGGAGGAACACCAGUGGCGAAGGCGGCUUGCUGGGCUUUUACUGACGCUGAGGCUCGAAAGUGUGGGGAGCAAACA